Long non-coding RNA from Cydia splendana, 1291 nucleotides. RefSeq lists it as uncharacterized. The record is from RefSeq and is a predicted model, not a curated record. NCBI's taxonomy places the organism in Eukaryota, Metazoa, Arthropoda, Insecta, Lepidoptera, Tortricidae. The transcript has 4 exons.
UCAAGUAUUGGAUAUUGUAAUCGUUAUGUGUCUGUCUGUUAUAAUGAAGUCUAGAAAGUACAUUUCAUAACUAGUUUUAAUAAAUACUUAUAUGCAUUUUAUUCCAUCCGGACAGAAUUUUACGACAGCAUUUUUUUUUAACUUACUUGUAAGACCUUUGUCUAUUUUCUAGUAUAACAGUUUUCUUCCAAAUAGUUGUAAUAGGGGUUGUAGACCCAAAACCACCUAGUGCCUACGAUUAUUCGUCGGACUACGAUUGCUCUGUCAUAUUGCGCAGGCGCUUUUGUAGCGUAAGGAUAAAAUUAUUACACGAAUCUAUACCAUGACAUAGAAUAGAGUGUACUCUUUUAAAGAAAAAUCUAAUAUAAUGCUUAAAUUAUUCAAAAAUAAAAUAAAAAAUGAUCUAAAUUAAUUUAGUAAAUUACUUGGAUUUGAACAUACUUUGAUUUUAAAAAGUUUUAGAUUCUAGAUAAAGCAUUUUGUAGCAAAGAAAGCGACGUUGCAAGUUCGUGCAUUGUUCGAAAUCGCCACGAGCGCUUUGCACUGUUGCCAGACUGGUUCGUUGUUUGUUGUUUGGAUAUUGAGAAAACUUGUCAAUCUUGCUUGACAUUGUGUUGUCUAUCGUUCCACGAUUCCGUAUGAGUUAGCGUGUAUUCCUUAUUGUUUUAUUCCUGUUACUUGUUGUUAUUUGUUAUUGAACUUAGUGUUUUGUGUGAUGCAAGUCGUUUCGUACUAACGCACGUGUGCGUACGUACUUUAUGUUUGAAAAUCCCUUAGAAUGGGGAACAAGAAGGGACGAAAAUCUAGUGCAUCAGUGAGAUUGAAGCGAAAACGAAAGCAAACAUGCUCCGGAAUGUCGUUACAAAGCUGCUGCACAGCCACCUGAUCCACAUGACCAAAUUGACAGUGAAGUGUGUCAAUCUGCUAAAGAAACCACAAAUCAACCUGAACCAUCUUUUUCUGCUUAUGUAGACUAUUUGAGUGAAGACACUGAAGGAAAUGAUUUUAAUAUAACACAUGAAAAUAUACCUACUGGCCCUGAACAUGGCCAUGAAACAAAAUAUGGCAGGAGGAUUGCAAAUGUGGACCAGUUCUUUGACAAGUUGCAAGAAAUAUCAUCUCAUGGCCCUCUCAAUUGCGGAUUAAAAUCAGUUCAGAUCAUAUCAUAUUAGAGACCCAGCCUACAUAAAAGAAGCCAUUCAUGAGAAAGAGAGGAAGAAAACAUCUGCGCCACCAAGAAAAAGAAAACUAGCCGCUGAAAACAGUGAAAACAUACGCCCCCCCGCCGUCG